UUGAUCCUGGCUCAGAAUCAACGCUGGCGGCGUGCCUCAGACAUGCAAGUCGAACGAUUAAAGCUCCCUUCGGGGAGUGCAUAAAGUGGCGCACGGGUGUGUAACACGUAAGUAAUCUACCUUCGAGUGGGGAAUAACGUUCGGAAACGUACGCUAAUACCGCAUAAUGCAGCGGCAUCGCAAGAUGACAGUUGUUAAAUAUUUAUUGCUUGAAGAGGAGCUUGCGGCAGAUUAGCUAGUUGGUAAGGUUAUGGCUUACCAAGGCUACGAUCUGUAUCCGGUCUAAGAGGACGGUCGGAUACACUGACACUGAAUAACGGGUCAGACUCCUACGGGAGGCAGCAGUCGGUAAUUUUGGGCAAUGGGGGAAACCCUGACCCAGCAACGCCGCGUGAAGGAUGAAGUAUUUCGGUAUGUAAACUUCGAAAGAAUAGGAAGAAUAAAUGACGUUACUAUUUAUAAGCUCCGGCUAACUACGUGCCAGCAGCCGCGU
RNAcentral lists this ribosomal RNA (493 nucleotides) under uncultured Acidobacteriota bacterium. RNAcentral describes it as "bacterial SSU rRNA". It matches the Rfam family "Bacterial small subunit ribosomal RNA", at positions 13 to 520 of the family's 1533-position model. Lineage: Bacteria; Pseudomonadati; Acidobacteriota. The record is from RNAcentral.